Molecule: ribosomal RNA, 249 nt
Filed under: uncultured bacterium
Lineage: Bacteria
Description: partial 16S ribosomal RNA
Rfam family: Bacterial small subunit ribosomal RNA
Source: RNAcentral
CAAAGAGAAGCAGACUGUGAAGUGGAGCAAAACUCAAAAACCGGUCCCAGUUCGGACUGCAGGCUGAAACUCGCCUGCACGAAGUUGGAGUUGCUAGUAAUCGCAGAUCAGAAUGCUGCGGUGAAUGCGUUCCCGGGUCUUGUACACACCGCCCGUCACACCAUGGAAGUUGGGGGUGCCCAAAGUCGGUUAGAAAAUAGACUGCCUAAGGCAAAACCAAUGACUGGGGUGAAGUCGUAACAAGGUAGC